CUGGAUGACUGUUUUCCUCCUUCUAUAGUCCACCACCAUCUCCUUUGUCUUUGAGGUGUUGAGGAUCAAAUUGUUCUCCCUACACCAGACCGACAACCGCUGCACCUCCUUUCUAUAGGCGGACUCAUCCUCACCAGAAAUGAUCGAAAGAGCACACG
This is a long non-coding RNA of Thalassophryne amazonica, 158 nucleotides long. RefSeq lists it as uncharacterized. The transcript has 3 exons. The record is from RefSeq and is a predicted model, not a curated record. NCBI's taxonomy places the organism in Eukaryota, Metazoa, Chordata, Actinopteri, Batrachoidiformes, Batrachoididae.